GAGAGGACGGCAGAGGUCGCGUCACAGAUUGGAAUGAACAAUAGCACGCCGGGAUAGGCUCCUUCCUCCCCCCCCCAAAUCCCAUCGCCUAACCGUGUGUACAGUUCCCGGAUGGCUGGUGUUCCCUGGAAUUUCCUUCAGUACUUCACUUCGAUUGGUGAACCAAAAAAAACAAAAUAUUUAAUUGAGAAAGGAAAGGGGAAGGAGAAGAUAAAUUUCAAAUACAUCAAAAAUGUAACCAGUGAUUCGUACAUUUAGAUCUUCCAGACAAAAUCUUCUACAAUACAAAAGCAAAGUACUGUGGAUGCUGUAGACCUGAAAUAAACACAAUGCUGGAAAAAUGCUCAGCAGUUUGGCAGCCACUGUGGAGAGAGAAACAGAGUUAACAGUUCAAACCACUAUGACACUUCUUUGGAACUGAAGAAAGGUAGCAAUGUGAUUGUUUUUUUUAAUGCAUUUGAAAAAGUGAAGAGGAACAAGUGGAACAGAAGGGAAGGUAAGGGAAAGGUUAUAGUCUGAGGGAGAUUCAAGAUUAAUAGUGCCAUAAAACAAAAGGCAAACAGAAUGGUAAUGGUUAGAGUUCCAAAGUAAAUGUUAACAGGUGACCAAAAGUCAACUCUGACAGUCAACAAAAAUGUGAAAACAGGAGACAGAUACAUUUUCCUACAUCAUAAUCAAUCUCCCAAGGUUAUGCCCACACAUUUAACCAAUCUAUAUCCCUCUGUAGACUCCUUGUAUCCCCCUCACUACUUUCUUUCCCACCGAUUUUCCCUGGUGCACUCUAGUUACAGGUUGCCAUCAGCAUUCCCCCUAAUUAGACCUGAGGUCUGCGCAUGGAAGUGACUUCCAGAAUCGAUGGCAAUGCUGUGAAUGCCAUUGGCAUACCAGUCGCCAUGUACAGACCCUUGGCUACACAUCCACUCAGCUCAGAAGGAACAUUGGUUGCCAUCCUGCAAAUGUCCCCUUUAUUCCAACUCUCUGUCUUCUAUUAGUUAGCUAAGCCUCUGUCCAGGCCCAUACACUACUCCCAACAUCAUGGGCUCUUAUCUGAUUAAGUAGCCUUACAUGUGGUACCUUAUUGAAUACCUUUUGGAAAUCCAAAAGUAUAAUAUUCACUGAUUCUCCUUUAACUGCCCGACUUGUUAUCUUUAUCAGGCACGAAUUCCCCUUCAUGAAGCCCUGUUGACUCUGCUUGAUCAUAUUAUAUAUUUCUAAAUGCUCUGCUAUUACAUUUUCCCAAUGAUAGAUGUUAAACUA
Rhincodon typus (whale shark) is the source of this 1257-nucleotide long non-coding RNA. RefSeq lists it as uncharacterized. The transcript is spliced from 3 exons. Lineage: Eukaryota; Metazoa; Chordata; Chondrichthyes; Orectolobiformes; Rhincodontidae. The record is from RefSeq and is a predicted model, not a curated record.